RNAcentral lists this ribosomal RNA (253 nucleotides) under uncultured bacterium. RNAcentral describes it as "partial 16S ribosomal RNA". It matches the Rfam family "Bacterial small subunit ribosomal RNA", at positions 524 to 776 of the family's 1533-position model. The record is from RNAcentral.
UACAGAGGUGGCAAGCGUUGUUCGGAAUUACUGGGCGUAAAGGGCGCGUAGGCGGCUUGGUCAGUCCCGUGUGAAAUCCCUCGGCUCAACUGAGGAACUGCACGGGAAACUGCCUGGCUUGAGUUCGGGAGAGGUGAGUGGAACUGCGAGUGUAGAGGUGAAAUUCGUAGAUAUUCGCAAGAACACCAGUGGCGAAGGCGGCUCACUGGCCCGAUACUGACGCUGAGGUGCGAAAGCGUGGGGAGCAAACAGG